This 361-nucleotide long non-coding RNA is filed under the name Paramuricea clavata. Lineage: Eukaryota; Metazoa; Cnidaria; Anthozoa; Malacalcyonacea; Plexauridae. The record is from RNAcentral.
UGGCGUGGCUGGGUGCCUCAACCUAGUUGAAAACCAAAUUCUCAAAAACGGCACGUUUAGCAAUAAUACAGCUAAACAUUUUAGUCAAAGAGCAAAUAAAUGUAACCACGCCAUUCUACGAUGAAAACUCUAAGUAUUCCCAGUCAAUUUUAGCAAAUAUUUCAAGCACUAAACAGUGAAAAAUACAUCACAAAUUUCGCAAAAAUUUGUGACGCCAAUUUCGUAGCUACAAAUGUAAAAAAAUACAAAACAAAGACGAAAAACAUUUACCUUGAAUACUUUGUCGUGGCUUAGGCAUGUUUUUAAAACAAUUAGACCAGUUUACGCUUCAAGAUCACCCUUUUAAAGGGGAAAAUAUAGC